CUGCUAAACAUGAUGUCGUUCCGAAGUGGUUCCCAGGGAGGAGGGAGGGGGUGCUUUGCUUGCAAAAUUCCCCUUUAUACCUUUCACAUUUACAAAAAACUUCCAGUUAUUAUACCUUCUUCAGUUCCUCCCAAUUUUUGGGAGCCUAAACCAGGAGAGAAGCUUACAGAAACUUCUAUACAGAUAGCGGGCAGGAUCAUAACCCUGCGCACAACUAGAAAAUCUUACAUUUUUUGAUCUUGUUCAAGUUAGUAACAACUUACAGCUGGUUGCCAACUCUAAGAAACUUGAAACAAACAUUAAAAGUUAUAGGCUUUCCUGGAAAUACGGAGACAGCGAACUAAGCCUUUUUGGAACAAAAAUUGUUGUUAUAGCGAAUUGCGAUCCUAUACCGAAGCAGUUACUAACAAAGCUUAGAGAUGUAAAAAUCGCUUCUUGAAAAUUCUUGUUUCCUCAAAUUUUAUUAAUAUUUUACGUGUUCGGUCUAAAAUAGUAGGUGAAAUUAGGAAAAUUUUGAAAAUAAUUUUGUAGAGGGAGAACUCAGGUGCUUUCUCUUACAGCCACUGGAGCAUUUGAAAGCCGUUUGUAACUAAAUUUUCUAGUUCAGAUAGGAAACUCUUCUUGCAGAUCGCUCCCGAAAUUUUUUUUAAGACUCUUGUGGUUGGCGGUUUUGAACGAGUUUACGAAUUUGAAAAACUAUUUAGAAAUGAAGGGUUUAGUCACCGCACUAUCCAGCGAAUUUUAUGAAGCAUAUGCAAAUGUGAAAGUGCUGUGGUUCGCACGAAAGCGUUGUUUCGCCCCUUGCCCCGAAGAUCCGCGUGCGAGAAAAGCUGUUAUUCACGACUUUUCAAAGCCAUUUUCGAGUGUCCACGUGUUUAAGACCUUUUUUGGAAAAACGAGACUUUCUGCGGAUAUGUUCGAUAAAAAUUAUUAUUUAUUUAUUACUCUUUUUAGUAUACUUGUAGUGUUUUUAAUAUUAAUACGCUUUGAGUAAUUAUUACUUAAAAAAAUUCUUAUUUUUUUAAUUUCAUA
This is a long non-coding RNA of Zophobas morio, 1032 nucleotides long. RefSeq lists it as uncharacterized. NCBI's taxonomy places the organism in Eukaryota, Metazoa, Arthropoda, Insecta, Coleoptera, Tenebrionidae. The transcript has 9 exons. The record is from RefSeq and is a predicted model, not a curated record.